UCCGGCUUAACGCCGGCAGUCUCCUUAGAGUGCCUGCCACUACACUUCGAGCCCAGGUAAGGUUCUUCGCGUUGCAUCGAAUUAAACCACAUGCUCCACCGCUUGUGCGGACCCCCGCCAAUUCCUUUGAGUUUCAAUCUUGCGAUCGUACUUCCCAGGUGGAUCACUUAAUGCUUUAGCUCAGACACCAACAGUAUAUCGCUGAUGUCGAGUGAUCAUCGUUUAGGGCGUGGACUAC
RNAcentral lists this unclassified non-coding RNA (238 nucleotides) under uncultured bacterium. Its description in RNAcentral is "contains 16S-23S intergenic spacer region". The record is from RNAcentral.